UUGCCCUCUUCUGUCUCCCCAGAGCCAGCAUGAGAGGGCAGCUGGUUCCUGGGGCAUUAAACCCUUCAAGAGGACCCAGAUGUCAUCAGGUGCACAGGACACAGUGAACAAGGCGGAUCAGGCCCUGCUCCCUGGCCCCCCCGCUAGCGGGGAGAGGAAGUCAUCAGGAGAAGCUGGAGUCAUUCCAGAGGGUGCCAGGAUGUCAGGAUGGUGAUUGGAGUCAGGCUCCAGCUCGUUGUUGGAUUUGGAGGUUGUGGGUGAGCAGGGACCUGGGUGACGAACCACAGCUGACCACGCAUCUUUGCGUCCGAGUCCCAGGCUGUUCCCCCCCUGGCUCCCUCACUCACUGUCUGGGUAGUGGCGGUGCCCCAGGUGCCCAGCGCUGUGCCAGGAGCGAGGGAUGGGGGAGUGUGUUGCGGUUACCUCAGUCUGCCCUGCUGUGGGUACAGGGCCUGGGGGGCCGACCACUUGGCUCUCCGCAUGCAGGCCUCCAGGUGGAGCGGCUCUCAGGCGAGGAGCUGACCUAGGAACCGUCCUGGGGAGCUCGUCCUCACUUGGAUGAGAUCCCGGACUCGGAACAGAGGCUGUGACGGGUUGAGACUUUUGGGGUCUGCUGGGAGGGGGAGCGAGGAUAUUUUGCACGGGAAGAAAUGCAGGACUCGGUGGCCAGAGGGCGGAGGGUGACACUUUGAAAUGUGUCCUCAAAUCCUCGGGCCUGCUCGUCAAACAGUGGGACCUAAUGCAGCACUUUCCCUGAAUGUGGGCCAGACUUGGUGACGCGCUUCUGACAAACAGAAAAGGAGCAGAGUGACGGUGGACACGCGAGACCGGGCCAUCGAAGGCACCGCGGCUCGCCACUGGCCCUCCCUAGGAUCCCUCACCUGCAGGGGCAGUGGCCACAUGACCACAUGGGAGGACACUCCAGACGCUCAGAUGGGGACGUCCACGUGGCGAGGCGCAGAGGCCUCCUACCGACAGCCACGUGGGUGCCGCCACCUCAGAAGGGGAGCUGCCCACUCGGGGGCGUGUCAGAUGAUGGCCCCUGACUCUGUGACUGCACUUUCAGAGUCACAGAGUGACACAGGGAGACAGAGAGCCAGGCCACGAGGACGCUCUUGAAUCCCUGACCCUCAGAUCCUGCGGGACAUUAAACAGCUAAGUUCUGGGGUAA
Macaca mulatta (Rhesus monkey) is the source of this 1171-nucleotide non-coding RNA. The record is from RefSeq and is a predicted model, not a curated record. Lineage: Eukaryota; Metazoa; Chordata; Mammalia; Primates; Cercopithecidae.